Pelobates cultripes (western spadefoot toad) is the source of this 623-nucleotide non-coding RNA. NCBI's taxonomy places the organism in Eukaryota, Metazoa, Chordata, Amphibia, Anura, Pelobatidae. The record is from the annotation of a GenBank genome assembly.
GGAACCGAAUCGGAGACUGCCGAACGUUCGGGAGGUGAACGUGGAGGUAUGCGAACCAGCAAACUUGCGGAAACUGCCGAACGUUCGGGAGGCGAACAUGAAGGUAGGCGAACUGGUGAAUGGGAGACAACUGCCGAACGUUUGGGAGCCGAACGUGGAGGUACUGUUACUGCCGACCUUUCGGUUCCCGAACGGGGAGGUGAAAGAACUGCCGAACAUUCGGGAGUUGAACGGGGAGGUAGCCAUACUGCCGGCUGUUCGGCUGCCGAACGGGGAGGCAACAAAACUGCCGAACAUUCGGUUUUCGUGUCUUCUUUUGCAGGGAAUGAAGGAGAAGCGGCCGCAGGUGAUAGGAGUCCUGGAAAGGGGCCUGGACAAGCACGGGCCAGUGGAAGAAGGAUGAGCAGUACAGCAGGCUUGGCAGCAGGUCACGGGAACUCUGGAAGCGCUGUUGGAGGAACAGGGACAACGGCUAUACACCGUCCGGGUGAGUCGACCUCUGACGCCAAUGCCCCGCCAAUGGCUGGGCCACGGGUUACCCCGGGGGUGGGCCCUGGUGUUGGCUUGGCUAGUGACGGCAGGGGGGAAAGAGGCAGACAGGGGACGGCUAAGGCACGGAGCGG